AUUUUUCUCAAUGGGGGCAACCCUGAAGGAGCGACGCCGCGUGGAGGAUGAAGGUUUUCGGAUUGUAAACUCCUGUCAUUGGUGAACAAGGCUCCCGGUUAACUGCCGGGUAGUUUGCUAGUAGCCGAAGAGGAAGGGACGGCUAACUCUGUGCCAGCAGCCGCGGUAAUACAGAGGUCCCGAGCGUUGUUCGGAUUCAUUGGGCGUAAAGGGUGCGUAGGCGGCGGGGCAAGUCUGAUGUGAAAUCCCGGGGCUCAACCCCGGAACUGCAUUGGAUACUGCCUUGCUUGAGUACUGGAGAGGGAACUGGAAUUUACGGUGUAGCAGUGAAAUGCGUAGAGAUCGUAAGGAAGGCCAGUGGCGAAGGCGAGUUCCUGGACAGUUACUGACGCUGAGGCACGAAGGCCAGGGGAGCAAAC
RNAcentral lists this ribosomal RNA (419 nucleotides) under uncultured bacterium. RNAcentral's name for it is "bacterial SSU rRNA". It matches the Rfam family "Bacterial small subunit ribosomal RNA", at positions 361 to 773 of the family's 1533-position model. The record is from RNAcentral.